Molecule: long non-coding RNA, 224 nt
Filed under: Rhinolophus ferrumequinum (greater horseshoe bat)
Lineage: Eukaryota; Metazoa; Chordata; Mammalia; Chiroptera; Rhinolophidae
Description: lncRNA (ENSRFEG00010017773.1)
Source: RNAcentral
GACUGGUGAUGAUGGCUGAUGACCCACAUCAUCCAGAUCUCUUCCUGCUGACGGACUCGGAGAGAAGGAAACUCAUACAAGUUUCAAGCUGGCAGUAGGAUGAAUGCAACGCUGUGGUUUAAGCAUCUGAGUGCCGCCUGCCAAAGUAACAAACAGCAGGUUCCUACAAACUUGAUGACUUUUGAGUAAAGGCCUAAGAAAGAAGAGAGGGGAACUAUUGCUCC